AUUGAACGCUGGCGGAAUGCUUUACACAUGCAAGUCGAACGGUAGAGGGGGCAACCCCUUGAGAGUGGCGAACGGGUGAGUAAUAUAUCGGAACGUGCCCAGUCGUGGGGGAUAACGUAGCGAAAGUUACGCUAAUACCGCAUACGAUCUAAGGAUGAAAGCGGGGGAUCGCAAGACCUCGCGCGACUGGAGCGGCCGAUAUCAGAUUAGGUAGUUGGUAGGGUAAAGGCCUACCAAGCCAACGAUCUGUAGCUGGUCUGAGAGGACGACCAGCCACACUGGAACUGAGACACGGUCCAGACUCCUACGGGAGGCAGCAGUGGGGAAUUUUGGACAAUGGGCGAAAGCCUGAUCCAGCCAUUCCGCGUGCAGGAUGAAGGCCCUCGGGUUGUAAACUGCUUUUGUACAGAACGAAAAGGUUUCUAUUAAUACUAGGAGCUCAUGACGGUACUGUAAGAAUAAGCACCGGCUAACUACGUGCCAGCAGCCGCGGUAAUACGUAGGGUGCAAGCGUUAAUCGGAAUUACUGGGCGUAAAGCGUGCGCAGGCGGUUAUAUAAGUCAGAUGUGAAAUCCCCGGGCUCAACCUGGGAACUGCAUUUGAGACUGUAUAGCUAGAGUACGGUAGAGGGGGAUGGAAUUCCGCGUGUAGCAGUGAAAUGCGUAGAUAUGCGGAGGAACACCGAUGGCGAAGGC
Molecule: ribosomal RNA, 695 nt
Filed under: Pseudomonadota bacterium
Lineage: Bacteria; Pseudomonadati; Pseudomonadota
Description: bacterial SSU rRNA
Rfam family: Bacterial small subunit ribosomal RNA
Source: RNAcentral